CAGCUCCCAAUAAAAAAUCCUAAACUCUCAGUCUCAAAUAGGAUUCCCUAGGCAGAAACACUGCAUAUGUGGUGUAUUUUUUCUGCUGUAAAGACAGUACACUCUGUGUGAUCCCUCAUGGGAAGAAUAGAGUAUAGGAAACCUGCAUACAUAUUACUCGAGACUCAGAUUGUGUCUUUUUCCCUAACUGAACAAACUGAGUAUCCUGACCAUGUUACCUGUAAAAAUUUGAAACAUGGAAGAAACUGUAUGCUGAGCUUGUGAGUCCUAGUAAACUACUGAGGAUGUGGGUGGUCUUGUGGACUCCUGAAACAGCUGUCAUGUAUUUUAUUUCCACACAUAUCUUAAACUCAAGGCUGAGACAUUAUCUUCAUUAGCUUGAUCCUGGGUGGUGGUUUGCCCAGAGUCCUCAAUUCUCCAGUUCCCAACUGAUGCUCUUGAUGAUCUGUUCCCUGUAUCACAAGUCCUAUUUCACCACUCAGGCUUUCAUAAAUGUUUUAGGUAAAUUCUUGCUUCUCAUUCUCAAUGAGAAUGGAAUGAAGACUGUUAAGUAUAUGUACUGUAUCACAUUAUUUGUAACUAAUAUAUUUUAGCUACAUGUUUUAAUUUUUAACAAGUGUUAAAAAGAUAAGUACUGGAAAUGUUCAUAUUACAAAUGAUACAGUUUGGGGUACAGCCCCACAACCCCAGAGCACUAAGUUGAUUGAUCACUCUAUAAUAAUGAUACAGUCACAUAAAUGGGUAUAUGUGUAUAUUAAUUAGAGUUUGGGCCAAUAGUGACCAACUCGGUUAUUUUGCUUUAGACUAACAGUAUAAUUUUCUCCCAUAGCAUUUAAUAAACUGUCUAAACACUUUAUCCAUGCCAUUAAAAAAGUAUAAAAUAUAUAUUUAAAUUAUUUAAUAAAUUCAAAUCCUUCCUGAAAACUCAGAAUGCAACUUUAUUUGAAAAUAAGAUCUUAAGAAAUGGAAUUCAUUAGGUUAGGAGAAGGACAUACUAAAGUAGAGUGAGUCCUAAAUCCUGUCUGACUGGCAUCCUAUAACAACAGGGAGAGAGAUCAAAGACACAAAGAAAGGAAGUCAAUCUGAAGUCAGAGACAAAGAUCAGAGUGAUAUAUUGACCAGCCUAUGAACGCUAAGCAUGACCAGAAACUACGGAGCUGGAAAGGGGCAAGAAAAUAGCCUCCCUUAGAUUCUUCAGAGAAAAAAUUAUUCAACUCUGUCGACACCUUGAUUUCAAAUCUCCAGCCUCCAAAACUGUGAAAGAAUAAAUUUCUGUUCUUUUACGCCACUCAGUUUGUUGUACUUACUUAUGGCAGCCCUAGAAAACU
RNAcentral lists this long non-coding RNA (1328 nucleotides) under Homo sapiens (human). RNAcentral's name for it is "HSALNT0057258". Lineage: Eukaryota; Metazoa; Chordata; Mammalia; Primates; Hominidae. The record is from RNAcentral.